UACAGAGGGUGCGAGCGUUAAUCGGAAUUACUGGGCGUAAAGCGUGCGUAGACGGUUAUGUAAGUCAGGUGUGAAAGCCCCGGGCUCAACCUGGGAAUUGCAUUUGAGACUGCAUAGCUAGGGUGCGGAAGAGGGAAGCGGAAUUUCCGGUGUAGCGGUGAAAUGCGUAGAUAUCGGAAGGAACACCAGUGGCGAAAGCGGCUUCCUGGUCCAGCACCGACGUCAGGCACGAAAGCGUGGGGAGCAAACAGG
RNAcentral lists this ribosomal RNA (252 nucleotides) under uncultured bacterium. Its description in RNAcentral is "partial 16S ribosomal RNA". It matches the Rfam family "Bacterial small subunit ribosomal RNA", at positions 524 to 776 of the family's 1533-position model. The record is from RNAcentral.